GCAUAUCAAUAAGCGGAGGAAAAGAAACAAACAUGGAUAGCCCUAGUAACGGCGAGUGAAGCGGCUACAGCUCAAAUUUGAAAUCUGGCCUCCUCUGGGGGUCCGAGUUGUAAUUUGCAGAGGAUGCUUUGGCGUUGGCGGCGGUCUAAGUUCCCUGGAACAGGACAUCGCAGAGGGUGAGAAUCCCGUACGUGGGCGCCUGCCUUCGCCGUGUAAAGCUCCUUCGACGAGUCGAGUUGUUUGGGAAUGCAGCUCUAAUUGGGAGGUAAAUUUCUUCUAAAGCUAAAUACCGGCCAGAGACCGAUAGCGCACAAGUAGAGUGAUCGAAAGAUGAAAAGUACUUUGGAAAGAGAGUCAAAUAGCACGUGAAAUUGUUGAAAGGGAAGCGCUUGCAGCCAGACGUGCCCGCAGUUGCUCACCCAGGCUCCGGCCUGGGGCACUCUUCUGCGGGCAGGCCAGCAUCGGUUCGGGCGGUCGGAUAAAGGUCUCUGUCACGUACCUCCCUUCGGGGUGGCCUUAUAGGGGAGACGCAAUGCGACCAGCCCGGACCGAGGUCCGCGCAUCUGCCAGGAUGCUGGCGUAAUGGCUGUAAGCGGCCCGUCUUGAAACACGGACCAAGGAGUCUAACAUCUAUGCGAGUGUUUGGGUGUCAAGCCCGGGCGCGCAAUGAAAGUGAACGGAGGUGGGAACCCCUCGGGGCGCACCAUCGACCGAUCCUGAUGUCUUCGGAUGGAUUUGAGUAAGAGCAUAGCUGUUGGGACCCGAAAGAUGGUGAACUAUGCUUGAAUAGGGUGAAGCCAGAGGAAACUCUGGUGGAGGCUCGCAGCGGUUCUGACGUGCAAAUCGAUCGUCAAAUUUGGGCAUAGGGGCGAAAGACUAAUCGAACCAUCUAGUAGCUGGUUCCUGCCGA
Molecule: ribosomal RNA, 910 nt
Filed under: Bimuria novae-zelandiae
Lineage: Eukaryota; Fungi; Ascomycota; Dothideomycetes; Pleosporales; Didymosphaeriaceae
Description: LSU rRNA
Rfam family: Eukaryotic large subunit ribosomal RNA
Source: RNAcentral